RNAcentral lists this transfer RNA (62 nucleotides) under Polycarpa mytiligera. Its description in RNAcentral is "transfer RNA-Gly(AGR)". Lineage: Eukaryota; Metazoa; Chordata; Ascidiacea; Stolidobranchia; Styelidae. The record is from RNAcentral.
GAGUUGUUAGUUUAAAUAAAAUAGUUGUUUUCUACACAACAGAAGCAAUUUUGUAUGGCUCA